AGUGAUGUGGUUUAGUGGUAGAACACUUGCCUAGCAAGUACAAGGCUCUGGGUUCCAUACUUAGCACCACCA
Molecule: transfer RNA, 72 nt
Filed under: Ictidomys tridecemlineatus (thirteen-lined ground squirrel)
Lineage: Eukaryota; Metazoa; Chordata; Mammalia; Rodentia; Sciuridae
Description: Spermophilus tridecemlineatus (thirteen-lined ground squirrel) tRNA
Rfam family: tRNA
About the family: Transfer RNA (tRNA) molecules are approximately 80 nucleotides in length. Their secondary structure includes four short double-helical elements and three loops (D, anti-codon, and T loops).
Source: Rfam by way of RNAcentral